This 285-nucleotide unclassified non-coding RNA is filed under the name Hevea brasiliensis (rubber tree). The record is from RNAcentral. Lineage: Eukaryota; Viridiplantae; Streptophyta; Magnoliopsida; Malpighiales; Euphorbiaceae.
AAUUACACCACAUAUUGCAAUCUUGUUGUUUUUGGGUUGGUGGGUUUCUUGAUUCUUCGAGUUUUAAGUCAACAACUGAGUUCCAAAGAGCUGUUGAAGUCUAAAAGAUCGGUUGAGUUCUGGAUCCGGAUGAUUUAUUACAAUGUUUGAGAAUUGGAAGUGUUGAACUGUGGUAAGAGUAUGGCUGUUGCUGGUUUGCACAAUAUAUCUACAUUUGGUUCUUCUUUAUUUAUAGAGUCUCAGUCCUCGGUGUCGAGGCAGCGGGGUGAACAUGAUAGGCCAAAA